RNAcentral lists this long non-coding RNA (1017 nucleotides) under Bos indicus x Bos taurus (hybrid cattle). RNAcentral describes it as "lncRNA (ENSBIXG00000014050.1)". Lineage: Eukaryota; Metazoa; Chordata; Mammalia; Artiodactyla; Bovidae. The record is from RNAcentral.
GGAAUGGGCAACACAAAGGCGGUAAGAACACCGCGUAAGGAAUGGGCAACACAAAGGCGGUAAGAACACCGCGUAAGGAAUGGGCAACACAAAGGCGGUAAGAACACAGCAUAAGCAAUACUGCGUGGCGCCGAGGUACUAACCCUGACAACGGGCGGAGAUUCACUGUUCUGAGGAUAACUAAGCCCAGUUCUACAUUUUCUUCUACAACUCAGAAUCCAACUGGGUAAAGAACGCUUAAUUACUAGAUGGCUAAAAUAUUAAAAUCUCGAGGCAACUAGUCCUUUCUGUAAGAACAUGAAAACUCACCUGCACGGAUGGUGAUACUCAUUUCCGCCAAAUUCCGCACCACGACAUAGUUAUCAACAUCUACACCUGAAAUGGCACUCUGGCGUUGACCUGAUUUCCAACCACGACAUGGUCGGCAUACGUACUGUUACACGGUGAAGCCUUUCCCUUUCACACGCACCUUGGGGCCUCCUGAGGUCUCAACAACGUGGCGGAGGCCAAAGCUGCCCUCCACGCAUUCAGGUGCUGGGAGCAUCUUGCCCGGCCCGGUUGCGGCAGCAGCCUCCCAAGACUCAGGCAGACCGCAGGGUCCUGCCCGGCGCCCGGGCCCUCAGAGGGCUGGCUCCGGGGCGACCCGAGCCAUCCGAACCUCUAGCAAACAAACAUCCCCCACCGAGAGCCGAGGCCAGAAAGGACGCGCCGUCUUCCCACAAUGCUUUUCUACGACUGGAACGACCCAUUGCUAGAGGGGUGCGGGGAGGACGGACUGCACCAUCGACAUUCGCGCGCCCUCGCCAGACGCCGCCGUGUGGCCGGAGGGCGAAUUGCCCAGUGAUUGGCAGAGGGGCGGGGCGGCACGGGCAGAGUUGUGAGGGCGCGGCUUCUCACUCCCAGCGCCGGCCGGUGGAGCCCAGCGAGCAGUUCUUUAUGCGGGAGGGGAGGUUUUUUCCCAGUGUGGAUACUCAACCACCCCUCCUCCCAGUGUCAAGAGCACACGGUCAGCGCUGA